UCCUCCAUCUUUCUCCUUCAUCUCAUACCCAUUUCUCUCACUUUUCCCUCUUGGUUGUGGUGGCCGUGAGCUGCCGUCCACUGUUCAGCUCACUGGGCUACCCUUGCCACGAGAUCUCGCUAUGCUGUCAUUCUCUCAUGUUGGCUAUGAGUCCCUAGCCCUUGCUGGACCUCCCUCAAGUCGUGUGCUGUCGUUCUUUUGCUAUUGUAGCCUUCACCGUGAGCCGCCAUCACCUAUGAGCCUUGCCACAGUCACCACUGCAUGCCAUAGCCUAGUUUUUGGAGGUGAUGGUUCCAUCCUGAUGUGUAUGAUUAUGCGGGACGAUACUCGAUUAAUGGAAUGAGCUUGAAUGCCCCCAAGUCAACAGGAUGUCAUUCGUGGAUGGAUUUCGGAAUGAAGCUUCUUAAUGGAAUGCUAUCCUGAGGUGAAUGAAUACGUGGGAUGUUGCUAUGCUUGAUGGGGUGAGAUGAUGCCCUAUUACGCCAGAUGACUACAAACCUUCGGGUUGGCCUUGGGCCCUAAGUGGUCGUAAUAAUCUGAAUGUAUGAUCUCGAGGGUAGUAUGGUAGUAUAGGAUGUCAUGAUAUUCUCGAGACGCCUGUGUGCAAUGUUCAUGAGUGUUGAAUGCAUAAUAUGAAAGAGACGUUAUGACUUGCACAAGUGUGGCAUGAAGAUAUAUGAAUUGCAUGAGACCCGUACUUGAAUGAAAUAUCAUACUAGUGGCUUA
Molecule: long non-coding RNA, 726 nt
Organism: Eucalyptus grandis
Lineage: Eukaryota; Viridiplantae; Streptophyta; Magnoliopsida; Myrtales; Myrtaceae
Exons: 2
Source: RefSeq, a predicted model, not a curated record